GCCGCACCAAGUGACCAGUGUGGACAUCGUUUUGGGUGGCCGUCGUAGUUGAGGGACGGACGGGUGGGGGUGAAAGAGGACGGACAUGACGAGAGAGAUGGAGAGUGGCAGAGAGAGAAAGAAAGAGGGAGAGCGCGUCAUCUCUCUCUCUCUCCCUCUCUCUCUCUCUCACUCUGUCUUUCACUGCAGUAGCUGCUGCAGCG
This is a non-coding RNA of Caenorhabditis elegans, 203 nucleotides long. Lineage: Eukaryota; Metazoa; Nematoda; Chromadorea; Rhabditida; Rhabditidae. The record is from Ensembl.